Molecule: non-coding RNA, 98 nt
Filed under: unclassified sequences
Description: GP20-a RNA
Rfam family: GP20-a RNA
About the family: gut metagenomes.
Source: RNAcentral
UUCCCUCUUAGCGUGGAGGUUUAACUACGCUCGUUCCCCAUAUCGGUGUGGGCGCACCGGAUUUAUAAAUCAAAGUCCUUUAGGGAACGGAAAGGAAC